RNA transcript from Capsicum annuum, 5593 nucleotides. RefSeq lists it as uncharacterized. The transcript has 3 exons. NCBI's taxonomy places the organism in Eukaryota, Viridiplantae, Streptophyta, Magnoliopsida, Solanales, Solanaceae. The record is from RefSeq and is a predicted model, not a curated record.
GACAUGUCCAUUUCCCCUCCAACACUUUCUCAAGUAACAAUGAAUCUGUUUGAAUGAUGACUUGUGUGUACUGCCACUAAUUGCAAUGUUUACUGCUUUCAAAACAGGUCUUGUUUUUGCUAGUGUAUUUGUGGUUUUAUCCAUGAUAGCUCCUUCAAUAUGUAGUAAGACCCCCUUUGAAUCCCUUAGGCAGUAGGAAUAAUAACUUAAUCCCGAUUACCUCUUGAUGCUUCGUUUGUAUUGUGUUUGACUCGUCCUUUAGGAGGAUACUCCCACAAUACCUUGGUCACUUUAGUUCUAGGACAAUAUUCCUCCAGCUCUACCAAUAUUUCUAGCCAAUUUCUUGAAAACCUCCUACUAGGUUUCCUUACUCUUAGAAGCAUAUACAUAGUCCUAGUCAACAUUAUGAAUAUAUUACGAUAUAAUGGACACACAAGGCCCAACUCUUACUAUCAGUACCAAAUCAAUGGCCCAAUUCAUUUGUUAUAUAUAUAUACAGAGAAUGAACUUUCUAGAGGUAGAUUAGAUAAUUUUCUGUUAUGUACAGUUUCCAAAGGCAGCCUGAACUCUCUCAAUUUCUAACUUCAAUCAAUGAAUCUCAAUGCAUUUUAUUCUUCGAUUUCUAUAUUUCUCGCAAAUCUAACAUGGUAUCAAAGCGGGAAUACAGCUCUCUCACACUCCAACAAUUGAAUGGUGUUAUAGUCAUCGUCUCCCAUGAAUUUAGGGUGUUCCGACGACGGUUUUAAGUUUUCUGACGGCGGCGUUUCGACGGGCGAUCCUGAGGUUUUCCUAUAUUGAGUAUGAUGACAUCAAUAUUUGUGGUACCAGUUUCGACGGCAUUUGUAUGAGGUUUUCCUUCACCAGUUUUUCCCCAAUUUUCCGUCGCACAUUGGUUUUUUUUUUUUUUUUGAAGAAAUAUGGUACUAUCCUUCCUCUCUAUUGAUAGACCGAAGCAUAUAACAUCUAGUUUUUGUUUACAACAAUGCCUGAUAACUCAUCUAAUAGCACAGGCACUGAGGGUUUUAUACCCUUCUCUGUUGAUCAUUCUCAUCCAUUUUAUAUGCAUCCAUCAGAUAAUCCCGGCACCCAACUUACUACCGUACCAUUCAAUGAAAAUGACUUUGUUAGUUGGAGGAAAAGCAUGAUGAUUUCUCUUUCUGUCAAAAAUAAACUAGGGUUAAUCACUGGUAGAAACCCUAAGCCUCCUCCUGAAUCUCCUUAUUAUCCUUAUUAGGAAAGAUGCAAUAACAUGGUCAUUGCUUGGAUAACAAAUUCUCUAUCUAGAAACAUAGCUAUAAGUGUCAUUGGAUUUGAUACUGGUAAAGAAAUUUGGGAUGAUAUCAAUGACAGAUAUGGACAAUCAAAUGGGUACCUUUAAUUACAAAAGGAAUUAGGUAAUACUGUCCAGGGAACCUCUGAUGUGGCAUCCUAUUUCACUCGACUAACGACUAAGGGGCAUUUGGGAUGAACUUAACACUACAUUUGUAGGGCCAACUUGCACUUGUGGUGCUUUACCAAAAUUCCUUGAGGAACAAAAAUCAUUUCAGUUUCUUGGAGGGCUCAAUGAAGUCUAUUCUACUUGUAAAAGCAAUGUCCUCAUGAUGAGUCCUCUUCCUAGCCUUGGCAAGCCAUAUUCCAUGAUUCAACAUGAUGAGAAACAAAAGGAACACUCUGCUGUUCCAUCUUCUUUAUCCACGGACUCAAUGUCAUUCCAUGCAUCCUAUGGAUUUCAAGGUGCAUCUCCUUCUAGAUAUGGUGAUAUGAAUAAAUGUUGAUCUUUUUAAAACCCUGGUAGGAGAUAUAAUCAAGGAAGGAACUAUCCCCCUCCGAAGAAAUUUUCAUCUGAUGUUUCAAAUCCUGUACAUGGAGGUGGUAGACCUUACACUCAGAAAAUCCAAUUUGAUUCCAAGUCAACAAUAGCCAUAUUAUUUGCAGAUAUUGUAAGAAAAGUGGCCACAUUAUGGAGAAAUAUCACAAACUCCAUGGAUAUCCUUCAGAUUUUCAGUUUACUAAGACUAAGAAAUCGGUUGCAUGUGCCCAAGUUGGCUUACCCUCUAGUUAUCCUCACCAGUCUAUUGUACCUCUAUCUCAACAUGGCAACCAUAAUGAUCAGUAUCAUCAUGUUUUGCAUCAAUUUGACCAAACUCACUUGUCUUCUAGUCUUCCAUCAGAUGACUCCACAGAUGCAGAACAUUCAGGGUUUGCUAAUUUUCCAGGUAUGUUCAAUAGCAUCUUUAACAGUCCUAGCAUACAUUCUGUUGGUCUACAUGUAUGUGCAACAUCUCAGUUAGGUGUAUUUUCUUGGAUCUUAGAUUCUGGGGCUACCAACCACAUGACCCCACAUAAACACUUACUUCACAACCUUCAACCUAUUUCCACACCCUUCCUUACCCUUCCAAAUGGUUAUAAGGUCAAAGUUGUUUCAACAGGUUCUCUAAUUUUAAGACAUGAUAUGAUAUUACAAAAUGUCCUUCUUGUUCCUUCUUUUCAAUUCAAUUUAAUUUCCAUAUUUCAGCUUGUUAAUUAGUUUGAUUGUUAUGCUUUUUUUACUAAGUCCACUUGCUUUUUACAGGCCCCUUCUCUUAAGAGGCCACUGGAACUUGGUAAAACUGCAAGGGGCUUAUAUUUUCUAUGUCCGGAAAACAUAUCCUCAGUUGAUGCAUCAUGCAUUCCAGGAUUGUCUAUUUUCUCUACUACAAAUACUCUCAUUCCUAAUGUUCCAGAUUCUGCUACAACUAUGUCACCACAUAUCUUACCUUCUACAAAUAAUUCUAUACCUGUAGUUAAUACUCCUAAUGAUAAUUCAAUCAGUACUUCAAUCUGUGCUACAGUUCCUGAUGUAUUUCUUAAUUCUUCUUGUACUAUUCCAUCAAAUAUAAUAAAAGUGAUUUGUUUUGGCAUAAAAGACUUGGGCAUAUGCCUUUUUAUAAAAUGAUAGUAUCUUUUUUUUAUCUGAUAAAUGGUCCUCCAAACCGCCUUUUAUAUACUCUAUAUGCCCUAUGGCUAGACAACAAAGACUACUAUUUCCGGAGAGUAGUAUUCAUACUACUCAACCUUUUUAAUUAGUUCACACUGACACUUGGGGACCUUACAAUACCCAAACUUAUAAUGGUUUUCGUUAGUUUCUUACUUUUGUAGAUGACUAUUCUAGAUCCACUUGAACUCAUCUCUUACCUUCAAAAGGUGCUGCUUUAACUGUCAUUAAAGUUUUCACCUCAAUGAUUAAAACUUAGUUUUAGUCCACAAUUCAAUGUUUUCGAUCUGACAAUGCCUUUGAAUUAGGCAGUGGUGCUGCAGCAUCUCAUUUUCUUUCAAAAAACGGCAUUAUACAUCAAACUACCAUCCCUCACACUCCUCAACAAAAUAGAGUGGUGGAGAGGAAGCACAAACAUCUUCUCGAGACCUCUAGAGCCUUAUUGUAUCAAUCCAAAUUACCCAAAAAAUAUUGGGGUGAUUGUGUGUUAACUGCAACCUAUCUCAUUAAUCAUUUUUCUUCUUCAGUUCUAAAAAAUAAAUCCCCUUUUGAGGUGCUGCAUCAGUCUCCCCUUCUUAUGCACAUUUAAAAUCUUUUGGUUGUCUGUGUUUUGCUACAUCUCCCAAAUUUGGUAGAGAUAAAUUUCAAAUCAGGGCUAUACCUUCAGUUUUUUUGGGAUAUCCAUUUGGCAAGAAAGGCUAUAAACUUUUGAACCUUACCAGUCAUUUCAUUUUUUAUUCAAGGGAUAUCGUUUUUCAUGAGCAUAUCUUCCCUUACAAUUGCCCUACUCCUUCUUUAUUUCCUACCCCUGCUUUCUCUUUCUCUGAUGAUACUGACAUACCCAUCUCCUCUUCUUCUGUUUCUUCUCUUCCUCCAGCUGCUAUUCCUUCUUCUUCCUCCCCCUCUAUAUUACCUCCUUUUAUUUUCACUAGACACUCUACUCAACCUGUUCACAGACCUGCUUACUUAAAAGACUAUGCCUUCUCCUUCAUUCACUCCCCGAACCUUGAAUCUCCUGUAUCCAAGUUUGCAUCUACUAAGGUUCACUUGCAUGAACCCCAACAUUAUGAUCAGGCUGCUGCUAUACCAGCUUGGCAGGAAGCCAUGCACAAAGAAUUUCAAGCUCUUGAGGCUAAUUCAACUUGGGUUAUAGUUCUCUUUUACCCCUCGUAAGAAAGUUAUUUCAUGUAAGUGGGUUUACAAGAUCAAACUGAAAUCUGAUGGCUCGAUAGAAAGAUAUAAAGCUCGUUUAGUCAUUCGAGAUGAUACUAAAAAACAAGGGGUGGACUUUACUGAAACUUUUUCUCCGGUGGUUAAGCUUACCACCAUCAAAUGUCUUCUUACUGUAGCUGCAAAAAGGGUAUGGACAGUGUUUCAAUUGGAUGUCAAUAACACAUUUCUUCAUGGUGAUAUCCAUGAGGAAGUAUACAUGAAAUUACCACCCGGCCUCAUUGUUACUUGAGAUUCUUGUUCUUCUUUGGCUUGUCAUCUUAAAAAGUCCUUGUAUGGCCUUCGUCAAGUGUCUAGACAAUGGUUUUCAAAACUUUCUAAAGCCUUAUUAUCUCGAGGUUAUUCAUCUAGUAAGAAUGAUUAUUCUUUGUUUACAAAGUGUACUGACACUAGCCGUGUUGUUCUAGCUGUAUACGUUGAUGAUAUACUUCUUGCUGGGGAUGAUUUACUUGAGCUGAAUUCUCUUAAAUCUUUUCUUAACAAUCAGUUCAAGAUUAAAGAUUUAGGUUCCCUGCAUUAUUUUCUUGGUUUGGAGGUAUCUUCACAUUGUCAAGGGUAUAUGGUCAGUCAACACAAAUAUACUCUUGAUUUACUUCACGAGUUUAGCUGUCACAACUAUUCCCCUGUUAUGAAUCCUUUGGAUUAUUCUCUUAAGUUGACUGCUGAUAUGGGUGCCCCAAUGUCUGAUCCUAGCUCCUUUAGAUGGCUAGUUGGAAAGCUCAAUUUUCUUCAACACACGAGGCCUGACAUCUCAUUUGCAGUGCAAUAUUUAAGUUUACAAUGCCCUCAAAUUCCAUAUAUGCUGGCAGCAAUACAUGUUAUACGUUAUCUCAUGGGAUGUCCUGAUCAGGAUACACGCAGGUCUGUCACUGGGUUUAUUUGCUUCCUUGGCGCCAGUCCUGUUUCUUGGAAAUGGAAGAAGCAACCUACCAUUUUUCUUUCUUUCGCUGAGGCUAAGUAUAGAGCUUUUCGGAAGGUGGUUACUGAAAUUGUUUAGUUGAUUCGUCUACUUGGUGAUUUUGGUGUCAAUGUCUCUUCUCCUGUUCCCAUAUUUUAUGAUAGUCAGCUCAGGACAGUUGGCUGAUGUCCUUACCAAAUCCCUGCUAGGUCCUGCUCACCAUUCUCUUCUUCACAAGCUUGGCGUGUCGACACCCUCCAGCUUGAGGGAGGUGUUACGAUAUAAUGGACACACGAGGCCCAACUAUUACUAUCUGUACCCGGCCCAAAUCAAUGGCUGAAUUCAUUUGUUAUAUAUAUAUAUACAGAGAAUGAACUUUCUAGAGGUAGAUUAGAUAAUUUUCUGUUAUGUACAGUUUCCAAAGGCAGCCUGAAUUCUCUCAAUUUCUAACUUCAAUCAAUGAAUCUCAAUACAUUUUAUUCUUCGAUUUC